GAUGAACGCUGGCGGCGUGCCUAAUACAUGCAAGUCGAGCGAACAGAUGAGGAGCUUGCUCCUCUGACGUUAGCGGCGGACGGGUGAGUAACACGUGGAUAACCUACCUAUAAGACUGGGAUAACUUCGGGAAACCGGAGCUGAUACCGGAUAAUAUAUUGAACCGCAUGGUUCAAUAGUGAAAGACGGUUUUGCUGUCACUUAUAGAUGGAUCCGCGCCGCAUUAGCUAGUUGGUAAGGUAACGGCUUACCAAGGCAACGAUGCGUAGCCGACCUGAGAGGGUGAUCGGUCACACUGGAACUGAGACACGGUCCAGACUCCUACGGGAGGCAGCAGUAGGGAAUCUUCCGCAAUGGGCGAAAGCCUGACGGAGCAACGCCGCGUGAGUGAUGAAGGUCUUCGGAUCGUAAAACUCUGUUAUUAGGGAAGAACAAAUGUGUAAGUAACUAUGCACGUCUUGACGGUACCUAAUCAGAAAGCCACGGCUAACUACGUG
This 497-nucleotide ribosomal RNA is filed under the name uncultured bacterium. Its description in RNAcentral is "partial 16S ribosomal RNA". It matches the Rfam family "Bacterial small subunit ribosomal RNA", at positions 28 to 507 of the family's 1533-position model. The record is from RNAcentral.